AUCCAUUUUACUAUAGCUCAGUUGGUUAGAGCGUGGCGCUGAUAACACCAAGUCUGCAGGUUCAAUCCCCAUAUGGGACA
This is a non-coding RNA of Podarcis lilfordi (Lilford's wall lizard), 80 nucleotides long. NCBI's taxonomy places the organism in Eukaryota, Metazoa, Chordata, Lepidosauria, Squamata, Lacertidae. The record is from the annotation of a GenBank genome assembly.